Molecule: ribosomal RNA, 329 nt
Filed under: uncultured Latescibacterota bacterium
Lineage: Bacteria; Pseudomonadati; Candidatus Latescibacterota
Description: bacterial SSU rRNA
Rfam family: Bacterial small subunit ribosomal RNA
Source: RNAcentral
GCUCGUGUCGUGAGAUGUUGGGUUAAGUCCCGCAACGAGCGCAACCCUUAUCCCCAGUUGCCAUCAGGUAAAGGCUGGGGAACGUCUGGGGAGACUGCCGGUGAUAAACCGGAGGAAGGCGGGGGAUGACGUCAAGUCCUCAUGGCCCUUACAUCCCGGGCUACACACGUGCUACAAUGGCAGGUACAGAGGGCUGCGAAGCCGCGAGGUGGAGCGAAUCCCAGAAAACCUGUCUCAGUCCGGAUUGAAGUCUGCAACUCGACUUCAUGAAGGCGGAAUCGCUAGUAACCGCGAAUCAGCAGGUCGCGGUGAAUACGUUCCCGGGCCUU